CCUACGGGUGGCUGCAGUGGGGAAUAUUGGACAAUGGGGGCAACCCUGAUCCAGCCAUGCCGCGUGUGUGAAGAAGGCCUCGGGUUGUAAAGCACUUUCAGUGAGGAAGAACGCCUGGUGGUUAAUACCCAUCAGGAAAGACAUCACUCACAGAAGAAGCACCGGCUAACUCCGUGCCAGCAGCCGCGGUAAUACGGAGGGUGCGAGCGUUAAUCGGAAUUACUGGGCGUAAAGCGCGCGUAGGUGGCUUGAUAAGCCGGUUGUGAAAGCCCCGGGCUCAACCUGGGAACGGCAUCCGGAACUGUCAAGCUAGAGUGCAGGAGAGGAAGGUAGAAUUCCCGGUGUAGCGGUGAAAUGCGUAGAGAUCGGGAGGAAUACCAGUGGCGAAGGCGGCCUUCUGGACUGACACUGACACUGAGGUGCGAAAGCGUGGGUAGCAAACAGGAUUAGAUACCCGUGUAGUC
Molecule: ribosomal RNA, 464 nt
Filed under: Vreelandella stevensii
Lineage: Bacteria; Pseudomonadati; Pseudomonadota; Gammaproteobacteria; Oceanospirillales; Halomonadaceae
Description: partial 16S ribosomal RNA
Rfam family: Bacterial small subunit ribosomal RNA
Source: RNAcentral